Molecule: ribosomal RNA, 881 nt
Filed under: Salmonella enterica
Lineage: Bacteria; Pseudomonadati; Pseudomonadota; Gammaproteobacteria; Enterobacterales; Enterobacteriaceae
Description: partial 23S ribosomal RNA
Rfam family: Bacterial large subunit ribosomal RNA
Source: RNAcentral
GCAGUGUACCCGCGGCAAGACGGAAAGACCCCGUGAACCUUUACUAUAGCUUGACACUGAACAUUGAGCCUUGAUGUGUAGGAUAGGUGGGAGGCUUUGAAGUGUGGACGCCAGUCUGCAUGGAGCCGACCUUGAAAUACCACCCUUUAAUGUUUGAUGUUCUAACGUGGACCCGUAAUCCGGGUUGCGGACAGUGUCUGGUGGGUAGUUUGACUGGGGCGGUCUCCUCCUAAAGAGUAACGGAGGAGCACGAAGGUUGGCUAAUCCUGGUCGGACAUCAGGAGGUUAGUGCAAUGGCAUAAGCCAGCUUGACUGCGAGCGUGACGGCGCGAGCAGGUGCGAAAGCAGGUCAUAGUGAUCCGGUGGUUCUGAAUGGAAGGGCCAUCGCUCAACGGAUAAAAGGUACUCCGGGGAUAACAGGCUGAUACCGCCCAAGAGUUCAUAUCGACGGCGGUGUUUGGCACCUCGAUGUCGGCUCAUCACAUCCUGGGGCUGAAGUAGGUCCCAAGGGUAUGGCUGUUCGCCAUUUAAAGUGGUACGCGAGCUGGGUUUAGAACGUCGUGAGACAGUUCGGUCCCUAUCUGCCGUGGGCGCUGGAGAACUGAGGGGGGCUGCUCCUAGUACGAGAGGACCGGAGUGGACGCAUCACUGGUGUUCGGGUUGUCAUGCCAAUGGCACUGCCCGGUAGCUAAAUGCGGAAGAGAUAAGUGCUGAAAGCAUCUAAGCACGAAACUUGCCCCGAGAUGAGUUCUCCCUGAGACUUAGAGUCUCCUGAAGGAACGUUGAAGACGACGACGUUGAUAGGCCGGGUGUGUAAGCGCAGCGAUGCGUUGAGCUAACCGGUACUAAUGAACCGUGAGGCUUAACCUUACAACGCCGAA